Gadus morhua (Atlantic cod) is the source of this 1472-nucleotide long non-coding RNA. RefSeq lists it as uncharacterized. Lineage: Eukaryota; Metazoa; Chordata; Actinopteri; Gadiformes; Gadidae. The record is from RefSeq and is a predicted model, not a curated record. The transcript has 21 exons.
GUCUCGAGUUCCCCAUUGACAUCCUUGCCGCCAUGAUGUCGGCAAUGACUCCGUUUUCAGUCACUAGGUUAACCAGCCUGUGUUGGCUUUGUGAUGGGACUCGACCUUUUAAUGAAUCGGGUUUCAGUCACUAGGUAACGUGGCUGCCUUGUAUUUGUGCUGGAAAUGACAUUUUCAAUCGGUGCCGCCAUGAUGUCGGCAAUGACUCCGUUUUCAGUCACUAGGUUAACCAGCCUGUGUUGGCUUUGUGAUGGGACUCGACCUUUUAAUGAAUCGGGUUUCAGUCACUAGGUAACGUGGCUGCCUUGUAUUUGUGCUGGAAAUGACAUUUUCAAUCGGGAAACCUACUGAACACAUGGUAGCAAAUUUGCUUCGAGUUUUGCUUAGUGAGGUGCUGACUAACUUGAAGAUCGAGUGAUGCUACCUCUCCAGAUGCUGAUAGUUAUCCAGAUGACAUGAUCGACAUCCAGAUGACUUGAUCGACUCCAAGAAUGGUGCUCAUCGUGUACCAUCCAUCCCCGGAUCGUUGAUGGAUCGGAAGUGGCAGAUGCCUCCCUGAAGUGCAGUCUCCCAAUAAACUAGAAAGCCUCGGGAUGUGCUUCGCAUUGCUUAUCGCAAGGCGAUGGGACUACUUGACUGGAGAGAUGCAGUUUACUUCUGAGCAUGAGGCGGUAGCGGUCAACUUGACUGGAGAGAUGCAGUUUACUCCUGAGCAUGAGGCGGUAGCGGUCAACUUGGUGGCUUGGUCUACUGCCGGUUCCAGAAAGCCUCCAUGGAGAAGAUGACUUGUAUCCUGCCCUUGAAAGCACCUCUAGCAAUAGUAAAAGGAGAAGAUGACUUGUAUCCUGCCCUUGAAAGCACCUCUAGAAAUAGUAAAAGGAUUUUGAGGAAGCGAAGGCCAUGUCAAAGGUGGAUGCCAAAUCGGAUUCAUUGGUUGAUUCUACUGGUGACUCAAGUCAACGCAGUGUUUCCCGUAGACCAAUGUUUGGCGCAGCAGUGAAGUGCGGUUAUAGUUUAUACAUUACGAUGUUGGCCCCCCAGGCCGUGAAUAGUGGAUCCAUUUGUCAAAAAGUUGAAAAAUGUUAAACUUUUUCGGCACCGACGGAUCCGUCAUCCAAUCAGAUCGCGUGUGCAAUGUCUCGGGCUCUUACGACCCCGGAAAGCUCCCCCAUCGCUCGACGUCCUUUGACUGACGGCGCAGUGGGCGUGAGGCGUUACCCCGCCACACAUUGUUACCUGGUCUGUGGGAAACGCUACAAAGAUUCAACAUGAAGUUGUGUUUAAUGUGAGUAUUUAAUAAAGAAAUGUCUCAUGGGUCAUCGUGAUGCAACAAAUGAUGACAACAUUCUGCCAAAUGAUUAAUAUGAUUAUAACCCUACCGUUCCAUAUAAAUCUGACUGUUGCUUCGUUUAAUAUAAAAUACAGCGUCGUUCUGGAUAACCCGAUGCUAAUGGUGUGUGUCCUUUCUCUAG